GAGGGUAUAGCUCAGUGGUAGAACACAUGCUUAGCAUGCACAAGGUCCUGAGUUCAAUCCCCAGCACCUCCA
Molecule: transfer RNA, 72 nt
Filed under: Camelus bactrianus (Bactrian camel)
Lineage: Eukaryota; Metazoa; Chordata; Mammalia; Artiodactyla; Camelidae
Also listed under: 3 other names
Rfam family: tRNA
About the family: Transfer RNA (tRNA) molecules are approximately 80 nucleotides in length. Their secondary structure includes four short double-helical elements and three loops (D, anti-codon, and T loops).
Source: Rfam by way of RNAcentral